Molecule: transfer RNA, 74 nt
Filed under: Crenothrix sp. D3
Lineage: Bacteria; Pseudomonadati; Pseudomonadota; Gammaproteobacteria; Methylococcales; Crenotrichaceae
Also listed under: 1 other name
Description: tRNA-Arg
Rfam family: tRNA
About the family: Transfer RNA (tRNA) molecules are approximately 80 nucleotides in length. Their secondary structure includes four short double-helical elements and three loops (D, anti-codon, and T loops). Further hydrogen bonds mediate the characteristic L-shaped molecular structure. tRNAs have two regions of fundamental functional importance: the anti-codon, which is responsible for specific mRNA codon recognition, and the 3' end, to which the tRNAs corresponding amino acid is attached (by aminoacyl-tRNA synthetases). tRNAs cope with the degeneracy of the genetic code in two manners: having more than one tRNA (with a specific anti-codon) for a particular amino acid; and 'wobble' base-pairing, i.e. permitting non-standard base-pairing at the 3rd anti-codon position.
Source: RNAcentral
GGGGUUAUAGCUCAGCUGGAUAGAGCAUCGGCCUUCUAAGCCGAGGGUCGCAGGUUCGAGUCCUGCUAACCCCA